Molecule: RNase P RNA, 351 nt
Filed under: Xanthomonas oryzae pv. oryzae
Lineage: Bacteria; Pseudomonadati; Pseudomonadota; Gammaproteobacteria; Lysobacterales; Lysobacteraceae
Description: RNase P RNA component class A
Rfam family: Bacterial RNase P class A
About the family: Ribonuclease P (RNase P) is a ubiquitous endoribonuclease, found in archaea, bacteria and eukarya as well as chloroplasts and mitochondria. Its best characterised activity is the generation of mature 5'-ends of tRNAs by cleaving the 5'-leader elements of precursor-tRNAs.
Source: RNAcentral
GGAGUCGGCCAGACAGUCGCGUCACUCGCAAGAGUGCCGAGGAAAGUCCGGGCUCCAUAGGGCAAGGUGCCAGGUAACGCCUGGGCGGCGCAAGCCGACGGACAGUGCAACAGAAAGAUACCGCCUACGUUCCUUUCGGGGAGCCGGUAAGGGGUGAAAUGGUGCGGUAAGAGCGCACCGCGAGUCCGGUAACGGACCGGCACGGCAAACCCCACCUGGAGCAAGACCAAAUAGGGAUCCAUUGGCGUGGCCCGCGCUGGAUCCGGGUAGGUUGCUUGAGCGCUGCGGUGACGUAGCGCCUAGACGAAUGACUGUCCACGACAGAACCCGGCUUAUCGGCCGGCUCCGCCG